This 64-nucleotide transfer RNA is filed under the name Nephotettix nigropictus. RNAcentral describes it as "tRNA-Arg". Lineage: Eukaryota; Metazoa; Arthropoda; Insecta; Hemiptera; Cicadellidae. The record is from RNAcentral.
AACAAAGAAGUAAAAAAAUUUACAUUUAGUUUCGACCUAAAAUUAAGGGAUAUCCCUCAUGUUU